AUUGAAGCAAAUUAUAUGUACAAAUAUUGAUAUAAGUGAUGAAUGAUUGACUUUUUUAGUUAUUUUGUUAGUGCAUCUUUCACCAAAGACAAACUCAUUUCAAUGGAAUUAUGUGACCUACCCUUAGUUAGUUAAUUCGCGUUUAAUUCGCGAAUUAUUCGCGACUUUUUCGAAAACCGAAUUAAACGCCGGCAUCCGAAUUUUUCCAAAACAUGCGUAAAAAAACGCGUUUUUUUCAGCAAAAAUAAUCAUCCGCGAAUUAUUCGCGAUUCGCGAAUGAUUCGCCCAAAGAAACGGCGGUCGCGGACUCGAUGCCGCGUCGUCGCCGCCAUCGUCGGCGUCCUCCUCCUCCAUUGCUUUCGUCGCGGAACUUUGGAUCACUGUAAAAUUCCUCGAAAAAAAAAAUUUCCGCUAAAAUUUUUUUUUCCAAACAAUAGUUGUCCCUCAAAUUAUUUUUGAAAAAAUUAUUUUAUAAAUUUUGGGAAAAAAAUCGAGUUUGUGACUUGAGACUUGAGAGCAAGAGGUAGAAAUGGCGCUGGGUUUGGGAAGAAGAAGAAGAAGGGAAAUCGGGGCUU
RNAcentral lists this long non-coding RNA (575 nucleotides) under Ananas comosus (pineapple). RNAcentral's name for it is "long non-coding RNA (ACOM_LNC031951)". The record is from RNAcentral. Lineage: Eukaryota; Viridiplantae; Streptophyta; Magnoliopsida; Poales; Bromeliaceae.